UCCCUGGUGGUCCAGUGGUUAGGACUCAGUGCUUACACUGCUGUGGGCCUGGGUUUGAACCCUGGUCAGGGAA
This is a non-coding RNA of Orcinus orca (killer whale), 73 nucleotides long. NCBI's taxonomy places the organism in Eukaryota, Metazoa, Chordata, Mammalia, Artiodactyla, Delphinidae. The record is from the annotation of a RefSeq genome assembly.